Molecule: long non-coding RNA, 718 nt
Filed under: Lonchura striata (white-rumped munia)
Lineage: Eukaryota; Metazoa; Chordata; Aves; Passeriformes; Estrildidae
Description: domestica (Bengalese finch) lncRNA (ENSLSDG00000008084.1)
Source: RNAcentral
UGUAAUUGAGGAGCUGCCAAGGCACAUCUGGAUAUUUUUCUUCUUCUUCUUCUUCUUUGUGUUAGGGACUGAUGUGCAACUAAUUAAAGGCAGACAGGCUGGUAGCGUCUGCACACUCAAGCCCCCCCAAAUAAAGAGCCUGGACGCCCGCCAGUCCCCAGUGCAGCCGGGGGUGAGGUUCCUUGUGUAGAUUUACGCUCCCUUCAUCUGGAUUUGUUUACAUAAAGCCUGCUUUCAGUGCACGACGUUGGGAGAAGACGAAGUUUUUGCACUCGCUGCGGCAGCUCCCGUGAGGAUGCCGGAGGAACGGCUGCCCGGCCAAGCACCGACCGCGGGGAUGCGUCCGGAGGAGGAGGAGGAUUAAGCGACCCCCCCCCCGCCCCGUCCCUCUCCCCCCGGCCCCCCCCCCCCCCCCCCCCCCCCCCCCCCCCCCCCCCCCCCCCCCCCCCCCCCCAACACCAACGUGUGCGUGGAGAGCGGCCCCAACCCCGAGGCGCCGGGGCUGCCCAAGGACAGCCACCUGCCCGAGGGGGCCCUCAACAGCCUUGUGGAUUACAACUCGGAGAUGGAGAGGUACCGCUCCUUCGCCACCUUCUACAAGACCAACGGCGGCGCCUUCCCCCAGGCGGCCAAGAUCGCCCGCAUCACCACCCCCAUCUUCCCCAGCGCGGCCGCCGCCGCCGCCGCCCGCAUCGGCAUGUCCCCCUGGAACUGCGAC